UGCCGGGCCGACCUGUCAAUCACACGAGCGUCGCCCACUAUUCAUAUUCCUAAACUACUCCCUCCGCCAAACGCGCCCCACGCCUGCACUACUCCACCUUCUCCUCCCUCUCUCCCUCAUCUCGUCCUUUUCCCUUGGCGCGCACCCAUCGCGGUCGUCCCUCGCCGACCCAUCCGAAGCUCGCGUCGCGUCGACCGCUGAAGCUCCAUGUGUCGUCAUCCAUGCUCUCACUAUUGUUCAUCGUUGUGAGAGCGAGGUCACAAGAAACCUGAAGACCAACUUGGUGAAGUACUUGGAAUCUCAAGUCACAGGCAAGUCAAGUACACGUACCGCCAAGAUGAGGACCAUGAAGGAUGUCGCGAUGAGUUCGUGAGAGGUCUAGGCCAUUGUCUCCCAGUCAACUAUGGUUGCGGAGGAUCGUUGUCUUCGUAUAAUGUAAUUAUUUAGCUAUUUUGUACAGAACUUCUAUUAUAUAAUAAAGAUUUGACAUUCGUUUCUGUACCAUGAGUCAUCAUAUGUGUGAGACUUGAUCCUAGUACAUAUUUGAUUAGGCCACCAAAUCUAUUAUUUGGUAGAGCCAGCAAAUUAAGAUAGGUCAGGUUUCCAAGAUAGGAGAUUUGGCCAGCUAAGUUGUUGUAGGAGAGGUUGAGCUCCGUGCCACCAUAUGGUGGCGUCAAGGUGCACUUCACACUGUUCCACUGCAGAAGUGGGUGUUGUUGGUCCAACUGUUCAUGACUCCUUUUGGAUCAUUGGUGAUAUUGUUCUUGAAAUCGAGCAGAGAG
Long non-coding RNA from Zea mays, 782 nucleotides. RefSeq lists it as uncharacterized. The transcript has 3 exons. The record is from RefSeq and is a predicted model, not a curated record. NCBI's taxonomy places the organism in Eukaryota, Viridiplantae, Streptophyta, Magnoliopsida, Poales, Poaceae.